Suricata suricatta (meerkat) is the source of this 388-nucleotide long non-coding RNA. RefSeq lists it as uncharacterized. The record is from RefSeq and is a predicted model, not a curated record. Lineage: Eukaryota; Metazoa; Chordata; Mammalia; Carnivora; Herpestidae. The transcript has 3 exons.
UCUGAAGUUGAGAUAUCGAGAAGUACCUGAAAACAACAACAAACUCAAGAAAAUUAUUAAUUCAGGUUUGCAAUUUGGAUGAUUUUCAGCACAUACAGCAUCAACUGAAACAAUGAAAGUGCUGAACAUUCAGACCUGCCCAGUGAUGUGUUGAAGAGGCUUUCCAGAGCUCCAGGGGGAGUGGAGUCCUGAUCGUAGCCCUUGCAGAUUUUCUAGGGUUUAUGUCCCUGUCCUCUUCCACCUUGACCAGAAUCAAACUGGACGCGUGUACAACUCGGAGAAGUGAGGUGUGUGCGGACGGUUCUCACAAGCCACACGAGCUGUCUCCAACAUCACUGGAACCAUCUUUGCUAAUAUUUUAGGCUAAAUCCUUGAAAGUGGAAUUUCU